AAUCAACGCUGGCGGCGUGCCUAACACAUGCAAGUCGAACGCGGUUAGUAGCAAUACUAACUGAGUGGCGAACGGGUGAGUAACGCGUGGGUGACCUACCUUCGAGUGGGGGAUAACGUC
This 120-nucleotide ribosomal RNA is filed under the name uncultured bacterium. RNAcentral describes it as "partial 16S ribosomal RNA". It matches the Rfam family "Bacterial small subunit ribosomal RNA", at positions 32 to 150 of the family's 1533-position model. The record is from RNAcentral.